AAUCAUUCACGACUUGUUUCACACGGAUUAUGCCUAAAUAGUAAUCACUGUGAGAAAGAAAAGUAGGUGAUGAACCUGCAACCCCCCUUAAGCAUACAAAUGAGUUUGCAUUAGCAACAAAAUAGUCUAUUACAAAUAAAAAUUAUCAAAUUCAAUCUCAAACAGUGCACUCUACAGUUCUAACAAAAACUAAGAAUUGAAAAACUGCCAAGUGAGUAUACUGUUUCGAA
RNAcentral lists this long non-coding RNA (230 nucleotides) under Lupinus angustifolius (narrow-leaved blue lupine). Its description in RNAcentral is "long non-coding RNA (LANG_LNC000175)". The record is from RNAcentral. Lineage: Eukaryota; Viridiplantae; Streptophyta; Magnoliopsida; Fabales; Fabaceae.